Eptesicus fuscus (big brown bat) is the source of this 1492-nucleotide RNA transcript. It is a transcript of the gene named membrane cofactor protein-like, with no coding region annotated. The transcript is spliced from 13 exons. Lineage: Eukaryota; Metazoa; Chordata; Mammalia; Chiroptera; Vespertilionidae. The record is from RefSeq and is a predicted model, not a curated record.
UCUGGGAGCAUGAGGGCCUCUUACCAGCCGCUCAGGGCAUCUUCCCGCCGCCUGGAGAGUCCCUUUUCGUGGGGCUUCCUGGGGGUCCUUCUGCUGGCCCUAGAGCUCCUGCUCCCCAUGUGCUCAGGUGACUGUGCUGAGCCACAACCUUAUAAAACUAUGGUACCCAAGAAUUAUCUUGGAGGCCCUCUUGGUCCUCUGAUCAUAUUAUUCUAUGAGUGUAUCCCAGGAUACGGGCCUAUUGAUCCUUCAAAACCCAUUAAAACUGUUUGUCAGUAUGAUGGCUCAUACAAACCCGCUCUCAAGGAGAGUUGUACAAUAUUGUCAUGUUCAAAGCUACAAGAACCCCAAAAUGGCAAAGUAGUCUACGUUAAUGCAACUACCAAAUUUGGUUCACAAGUUCAGUAUGUUUGUACUGAGGGUUAUUACAUAGUUGGAAUAAAAAAUCGAACAUGUGAAGCCAAUGAAACUGAAGUGAUAUGGAGUGGUGAUCCACCAACUUGUGAAAAGAUUUUUUGUGAGCCACCUAUACAUAUACCAAAUGGAGACUACACCAAUAGAGGCAAGGAUAUAUUUGGAUAUAAUGAAACAGUUAUUUAUAGUUGUAAGCCUUCGAAUGCAACAGAUCAUUAUACACUUGUCGGAGAGAGCACACUUGUUUGUAUUGGGCCUGACGAAUGGAGUAGUGAGCCUCCUGAUUGUAAAGCAACUUACACACCCAUUGAUGGACCAACAACUAGUGCUGCUGACUUAGAUGGAGGACUCAUUGCUGUGAUUGUUCUGACUUUAUUAUGUACUUGGACCAGAUGUUCUAAUAUGUCAAGACUCUGGUGGGAAUAAUUUGGCAUGGAGUGAGGCACCACCAAGUUGUGAAAAGAUUGUGUGUCAGCCACCUCCGCAAAUAUCAGAUGGAGAAUUCACCAAUGCCCAGAAGGAUACAUAUGAAUAUAAUGACACAGUUAUUUAUAGUUGCAUGCCUCCUGAUGGACCAGAUGGAUAUACACUUGUCGGAGAGAGCAAGCUUGUUUGUAUUGGGUAUUACCAAUGGAGUAGUCACGCUCCUGAGUGUAAAGAUUAUCCUGGCUCUUCCUAGUCCCUUGAGGUUCCAUAUGAAUUAUAUGUUGGAUUUUUCUAUUUCCGCAAAAUGCAUAUUCAAGAAGAAAAUAAAAGACCCUCUAAUGAAUCACCAACUACAGCCGAUGAUUUAGAUGGAGGACUCAUUGCUGUGAUUAUUCUGACUGUACGAAGGCAGAGGGAGAUGUGACUACAGCACCAGGCAAUGUGACCACUCAAGCAAAAUGCUGCUGGAUGGAGAAUGGAGGCAGGAGCCAGAAAGCAAAGAAUGCAGCUACAGAAGCUGGAAAAGGCAAGGAAACAGCUUCUCUCCCAGUCCCCUGGUGGGCGGGUGGCCCAGCCCACACCUUCAUUUCCAUCCAGUGAAAUUGAUUUCUGACUUAUGACUUCCAGAACGAAAAGAAUAAAUGUGUGUUGU